Molecule: long non-coding RNA, 222 nt
Filed under: Prunus persica (peach)
Lineage: Eukaryota; Viridiplantae; Streptophyta; Magnoliopsida; Rosales; Rosaceae
Description: long non-coding RNA (PPER_LNC004845)
Source: RNAcentral
GAAAAGAAGAUUAUCUCUUAAAUUAAUUAAUUAAACCAGUUUAUCUGGCUAAUUAAUUAAUUGGGAUAAAUAUCUUAAUUAAUAUGAUAUUAUCUUUAUUUAAAGAGAUAAUAUCAUUAAUUCAGAUAUUAUCCUAAUAAAGAGAAGAUAAUAUCAUUUAAUUCAGAUAUUAUCUUCUUAAGAGAUAAUAUCAUUAAUUUGGAUAUUAUCAAGUCCGACUCG